RNAcentral lists this transfer RNA (89 nucleotides) under Xylaria grammica. Its description in RNAcentral is "tRNA-Val". It matches the Rfam family "tRNA". Rfam says of the family: Transfer RNA (tRNA) molecules are approximately 80 nucleotides in length. Their secondary structure includes four short double-helical elements and three loops (D, anti-codon, and T loops). RNAcentral also lists the same sequence under 1 other name. The record is from RNAcentral. Lineage: Eukaryota; Fungi; Ascomycota; Sordariomycetes; Xylariales; Xylariaceae.
GUUCUCGUGGCCUAGUGGUUAUGGCAUCUGUCUUACAAAGUUCCUUCUUUGAUCACAGAAGAUCCCCGGUUCGAUCCCGGGCGAGAACA